Long non-coding RNA from Scophthalmus maximus (turbot), 2398 nucleotides. The record is from Ensembl. NCBI's taxonomy places the organism in Eukaryota, Metazoa, Chordata, Actinopteri, Pleuronectiformes, Scophthalmidae.
GGUGGAGGAGGGUGGAGGUGGUGGAGGGGCCGCAGCGGACACCACGGACCCCGCGGACGGAGCCUGGUUGUUUGCAAACAAGAUGCCUGAAGACAGCUGACUGAGGGAGGAGGGAACCGGAAGCAGGAAGCCGCCUGUUUUUCCUGGUCUCCACAAAGAUCGUCGAUUGAGAAUAAGAAGCGUCGAAACGUGGAACGCUCAGCUCUCACACCUGGAGCCGUUCUGCGCCUCGGAAUUACCCAGAAGGCCGUGCAACGUGCAGAGUGUUUUCAGCCGGUCAGGAGGAAAUAACGGAGGUAAUGAGCCUUCACUUCAAACCUUAUUACCCAGGAGCCUUUGCUGCGACCCGGCGCCCGACCAGGCGCCUGCUGCCGCACAGUUCAGUCUAACGGAGAGUGAGCGAUGAGACGUUCCCCCUCGCUCACCGGUUGAAACAACAACUCCUCCGAGAGGAAACGCAAAGUGAUUAAUUUGUCAAGAAAAUGAACUUAAUGAGAUUAAAAUGUUUCUGUAUCCUGAGGAGAAUAUUUUAUGGUCUAUCUGUGUGUGUGUGUGUGUGUGUGUGUGUGUGUGUGUGUGUGUGUGUGUGUGUGUGUGUGUGUGUUGGGCAGAUUUAAUUUAAUGACUUUGUUCUGUGACGUGUGAGUGAGUGAAAGAGUGAAGGGAUGGAGAACUGUUGAUUCUAGCAAAGUGUGCAUGUUUAUGCAUUAAUAUAAAUGUAGAAUAAUAUGUUUAAUGAUCUAUUUUUCUUCUCCAGCCUGAAAAAAAUCUUUUAAAAUAAUCAUAUUUUCUUUGAUUUCUCUGCUCAGACAAAAACCUAACAUUGCGAUUGUCUUACGUCUGUGAGAUUGUUCCUUUCCACAUUGUGACGCACACGAACCUACGACGGCGUAUCAGGGCCAUUGUAGGAAAAAUCAUAUAUUUUAUGGAGGAGGGUAAUAUUUUAUGCAGGAGGAGGGUAAUAUUCUGAGAAAAAAACACAGAAUUUCUGAGAUUAACGUCGUAAAUUCCUGAGAUUUUUUUUUUGAAUAUUCUCUGAGAUUAAAAUUGUAAAUAUACGAGAAAAAAAGUCGCAAAAAUUUAAGUUUUUCGUGUUUUCAGUUUGGUCCGAAAAUACACAAAAUUGCCCUGAAUGGCCCCUCGGACUCACACGUGCAGACUCGCGGAUGGACGCUCCCUGUGCGUCACCUCACACGUGAUCGUGAGCCAAAGGCCGAUUUGACCUUAACGACCUGCUCAGUCCGCACGCAAGGUCACAGCGUUUUCUAUCUUCAGUAAUUAACACGAGCGCGACGCCGUUAGCGCGGCUUCUAACGACAGGAGCGCCGACCGAGCUUUAUGACUUUGUCGCUCAUCGGGGGGAUGAAACGAUUGUGUCCACAGGCCGCGACGCUCGCCUCCAUCAAAUCAGGAUGUGGCGACUGAACACAGUUUCGCCGCGCGGAGAUUAAUAAACCUGAUUUGUGGCUGUGGGACAUCAAGUGAAGAGCCAAUAAUCCCAGUAAUAAACGGGGUUUUGAUAGUGACGUCAUCAGCUCAUGUUUACGGCCCCGAACACUAUUUUUCUUCUUCUAAAGUUGUAUAAAUAAGACGUUUUCAGAAAAACAACUCCAGAAACACUUUGCAGAGUUUGCAUUUUACAGUUUGUACUCAUCCUGAGUCUCGUUUUCUUGUUUCCACCUCAUCUUCUCUGCUCUCCUCACUUCCUGGACUCGUUUCCUCUCCUCCUCUUCUCUCCCAGAUGUGGGUCACCAUCACCAUCACCAUCACCAUCACUUCCAAUCUAACACUGGUGGAAUAGCUUGUAACUGCUGUUUAAUCUCGACACCACGCUGGUUGAAAAGCAGCUGUGUGUGUGUGUGUGUGUGUGUGUGUGUGUGUGUGUGUGUGUGUGUGUGUGUGUGUGUGUGUGUGUGUGUGUGUGUGUGUGUUAAAACAGGCACCAUCUAUAUGAGGUAAACCCCUCCGUCCCCUAACAUCUCGACCUCUCCGCUCCCUGAUGGAUCUCAGAUGCGAUCAUCCGGAGGGCGAGGGCAGGCCGGUGAACGGGAUGUGGCGGUGACGAGCGGCAGCGGCAGUAGGGUAAGACAGGAUCAGCCCCCCGCAGGAUGUUAUCACUAAAGAGCAUCAGCGGGGAAGGGUCUUAGCGUCGCGCAGAGCCACGGCCUGUGGCGGCGACUCCCAGAGCUCCGAGAGGACGGGAGGACAUGCGACGACCGGGGUUCAGAUACAAUGUGACGGCUGCUGCAGAGACGUCUGUGUGUGUGAAGAAAAAACAUUUCAAUUGUUUUACUGUUUAAAGGGGCAGUGAGUGAUUUUAAUCCAACACACUUUUCGUCGUGCUCCCUCACCCGAGGUUGAGGGUUCGAGUUCCGACCAGAAAACUAUCUUUCUCCAA